UGGUCGUACAUCGUGAUUGGGCGAACGGC
Molecule: non-coding RNA, 29 nt
Filed under: Bombyx mori (domestic silkworm)
Lineage: Eukaryota; Metazoa; Arthropoda; Insecta; Lepidoptera; Bombycidae
Source: RNAcentral